RNAcentral lists this ribosomal RNA (710 nucleotides) under Enterococcus faecium. RNAcentral's name for it is "partial 23S ribosomal RNA". It matches the Rfam family "Bacterial large subunit ribosomal RNA", at positions 1498 to 2215 of the family's 2925-position model. The record is from RNAcentral. Lineage: Bacteria; Bacillati; Bacillota; Bacilli; Lactobacillales; Enterococcaceae.
UCGGAAAUGUCUGUCCAAGCAGUAAGUCUGAAGAGGAGUCAAAUGCUUCUUUUCUUAAGGACAAGCUGUGAUGGGGAGGGAAAUAAUAGUACCGAAGUUCCUGAUGUCACACUGCCGAGAAAAGCUUCUAGUGAGAAAACAGCGGCCCGUACCGCAAACCGACACAGGUAGUCGAGGAGAGAAUCCUAAGGUGAGCGAGAGAACUCUCGUUAAGGAACUCGGCAAAAUGACCCCGUAACUUCGGGAGAAGGGGUGCUGAUCAUACGAUCAGCCGCAGUGAAUAGGCCCAAGCGACUGUUUAUCAAAAACACAGGUCUCUGCAAAAUCGUAAGAUGAAGUAUAGGGGCUGACGCCUGCCCGGUGCUGGAAGGUUAAGAGGAGUGCUUAGCGCAAGCGAAGGUACGAAUUGAAGCCCCAGUAAACGGCGGCCGUAACUAUAACGGUCCUAAGGUAGCGAAAUUCCUUGUCGGGUAAGUUCCGACCCGCACGAAAGGCGUAACGAUUUGGGCACUGUCUCAACGAGAGACUCGGUGAAAUUUUAGUACCUGUGAAGAUGCAGGUUACCCGCGACAGGACGGAAAGACCCCAUGGAGCUUUACUGUAGUUUGAUAUUGAGUGUCUGUACCGCAUGUACAGGAUAGGUAGGAGCCGUAGAAAUCGGAACGCUAGUUUCGAUGGAGGCGCUGGUGGGAUACUACCCCUGCGUUAUG